UUGCUUUUGUUUGUUUGUGUUGGUAUUGGUUUUUGUUUAACAACAAAGAAAUAGGCUCUGACCUGGUGGAAAUCCUGUGACUCAUGAAAAACUCACAAAGCCUGGAUGUGCUCCACAUUCCUGACCUGUGUGAGCACUCCCAUCAGAGCCCUUGUCACAGAGCCGGUUGUCCAACUGAGGAAGGGAAACUAUACCACAUGGCUUACAUUCAGUGGCAUUUUUCAAACGCUUUUGAGAGAAAUCACAAUGUGCUUGAAGAGUUUCCAGGGUGAAAUAUAUCAACAAAAUUAUUGAGCAUGAAUAAUUUUCCCAGUACUAUUUACUGUAACAGAUUAGGAUCAAGAAGUAGAAAAAGGACAGGAGAGAGAGAGCAAAAGAGAAAGAGAAGAAGGAAAUUCUCCUCCCACACACUCAGAAGAUGUACCAUUUCUGGAUUGCUUCAAACUGAGUGGAACCCAAUAAUUAUGACUUCACAUUUCCAAGAGAACUAAGCCCAGUCCCGCACAAAUAGCUGCACUGUAGUAAUAUGCUGCUGGCCACUCAUCCUAAUCCUGAACAUGCUAUAAAGAACUGACCCAGCAGGCUACCAGUGCUAAUUCUGGUUGUGGCUAGCCCUCACGUGUUUACUUUUCAUUAACCCUAUAACAUUCAAGUUUUCAUUUAAUCUGUUACUUUUCUGUCUCUUGGUGUGCUCAACCUCUUGUGUCUUGAGUAGUCAGAACUCAGAUGGCGUGCUCAGAAAACAGGGAAGUGUACAAUUAUGUGCGCGGCCGGGACGUGGAAGCGCCGAGGCGGCUCUGCUGGACAGUCCCGCGCCGGCUGAGCGCUCCCGAGGGAGCCCCUUGAUCUCCUCACGCCUGUCUGAGGCCCUGCACCAGCCAGAGAGAUUAAGGAAAAGUCGCCAAAUGUCAGGGCCGAAUACCUGUUUUCAUUUAUUUAGCAUUUGCUUGGCCAUCAAGCUGAGUUUCCAUUACAGAGGUGCAUGAACAGGAUCAGCAUGAAUUCACUUUUCAGAAUAAA
RNAcentral lists this long non-coding RNA (1020 nucleotides) under Anser brachyrhynchus (Pink-footed goose). RNAcentral's name for it is "lncRNA (ENSABRG00000005690.1)". Lineage: Eukaryota; Metazoa; Chordata; Aves; Anseriformes; Anatidae. The record is from RNAcentral.